Molecule: long non-coding RNA, 1222 nt
Organism: Apis laboriosa (Himalayan honeybee)
Lineage: Eukaryota; Metazoa; Arthropoda; Insecta; Hymenoptera; Apidae
Exons: 3
Source: RefSeq, a predicted model, not a curated record
CUCGAAGAUACUCAAAGCUCAUAUAUUUGAUAAUUUGCCAGAGAAAUAAUAAGAAAUAUCUGAUCUAUGUAAUAUUUAUUUUAUUAGAAAAUGGUUCGAUUCAAGAAUCAAUAUAAGUGGAUAUUGAAUGAUAAUCGAUGAAGCUAUCAGCAGGUACUCGAUAUUCAUCGUGAAGCGUGUUCAUGACACGAAAAGUGGGCGGCAAUUAUAUUUCACUGACGAAACUGCGUGUAGCUUAUGAUGAUUCGCUAUUUAAAGCGGUGAUAUUUUUGCAGCGUGGUUUCAAGGAGCGGUCAACUACUAUAUUCAAUAUUGAUGGUUUUCUAUUUUUGCAGUUCGAAUUGUUGGUGUUAUUCAAGUAUGUGUUUGCUCGUCACGUUUUCGACAGGGUUACUGAACUUUUUAAAACUUUCUUUCCAAGAAUUUGUUAAUUGAUAAUCAAUCAGAAAAAGGAUUUGUAAUUUGAAAGUUUGUUAAUUGAUGAUCAAAGAAAAGAUAAGAAGAGAUAAUUUUUUUUUUUUAAAAAUUAUGAAACAGAAGAUUUUAUUUUUAAAGGAAUUAAAUAUUGAAUCUUGGACAAUGAUUGACAGUGUUAAAAUUCAUUUCCUCAUUCAUUAGUAGAUAGAAAAUGUUGCAAUUCAUACAAUUUAUCAAAUGGAACCAUGUUAAGCUUCGUUUGUAAAAAUUUGUAAAUUUUCACGGUCGAGAUUUCACUUUCAUGAAAUUAUUUUCACGAAAAUUGCCAUCAUACCACCAACCGUGAACCCGGUUCGAUUCUCGACUAAUUUUAACAUUGAAUCAGACGAGUGACGUCAUUGUUAUCACGACUGAGAUCGUAAUUCAGCUGGUCGACUUUCUCGGAAAACGCGUCGAUCGUUUCCACGAUGAGAAGUUUGGAUGAUAAACGAAAUUCCAGCGAUGAACCAACCAAGAAAAAUGAUAAACAAUGAAGGUUCAAAUGAUUCGACGAAUAUAUGGUUCCAGUUUUUACAACUUACAAAUAACUUACAGGAAUUAAUGAAUGUGAUAAGACUAAGAAAGUAAAUAUGCAUUUUGCAAAAAUGAUUUCAAAUUAUUCAAAUAUUAUUUAAAUUUUGCAAAUUUAAAUAUUUUGGAAAUUUUUAGAACGCUUACAAAACGAACAAACAAAAUAUAUAAUUCAUUUCAAUGACAACUUAUGCAUUGUGCGAAUCAUCUGAACUAUAAAACCAUUUGCACAAAG